Molecule: ribosomal RNA, 1386 nt
Filed under: Pedobacter cryoconitis
Lineage: Bacteria; Pseudomonadati; Bacteroidota; Sphingobacteriia; Sphingobacteriales; Sphingobacteriaceae
Description: bacterial SSU rRNA
Rfam family: Bacterial small subunit ribosomal RNA
Source: RNAcentral
UGCAGUCGAACGAUACUCUUUAGCUUGCUAGAGAGGAAAGUGGCGCACGGGUGCGUAACGCGUAUGCAACCUACCUUAAUCAGGGGGAUAGCCCGAAGAAAUUCGGAUUAACACCGCAUAAAAUCACAGUAUAGCAUUAUACAAUGAUCAAAUAUUUAUAGGAUUAAGAUGGGCAUGCGUGACAUUAGUUAGUUGGCGGGGUAACGGCCCACCAAGACCACGAUGUCUAGGGGAUCUGAGAGGAUGACCCCCCACACUGGUACUGAGACACGGACCAGACUCCUACGGGAGGCAGCAGUAAGGAAUAUUGGUCAAUGGAGGCAACUCUGAACCAGCCAUGCCGCGUGCAGGAAGACAGCCCUCUGGGUCGUAAACUGCUUUUAUUCGGGAAUAAACCUACUUACGUGUAAGUAGCUGAAUGUACCGAAGGAAUAAGGAUCGGCUAACUCCGUGCCAGCAGCCGCGGUAAUACGGAGGAUCCAAGCGUUAUCCGGAUUUAUUGGGUUUAAAGGGUGCGUAGGCGGCUUUUUAAGUCAGGGGUGAAAGACGGUGGCUCAACCAUCGCAGUGCCCUUGAUACUGAAGAGCUUGAAUGAAUUAGAGGUAGGCGGAAUGUGACAAGUAGCGGUGAAAUGCAUAGAUAUGUCACAGAACACCGAUUGCGAAGGCAGCUUACUAUGAUUUUAUUGACGCUGAGGCACGAAAGCGUGGGGAUCAAACAGGAUUAGAUACCCUGGUAGUCCACGCCCUAAACGAUGAAUACUCGCUGUUAGCGAUACACAGUUAGCGGCUAAGCGAAAGCGUUAAGUAUUCCACCUGGGGAGUACGGUCGCAAGAUUGAAACUCAAAGGAAUUGACGGGGGCCCGCACAAGCGGAGGAGCAUGUGGUUUAAUUCGAUGAUACGCGAGGAACCUUACCCGGGCUUGAAAGUUAGUGAAUCAUUUAGAGAUAGAUGAGUCCGCAAGGACACGAAACUAGGUGCUGCAUGGCUGUCGUCAGCUCGUGCCGUGAGGUGUUGGGUUAAGUCCCGCAACGAGCGCAACCCCUAUGUUUAGUUGCCAGCACGUUAAGGUGGGGACUCUAAACAGACUGCCUGUGCAAACAGAGAGGAAGGAGGGGACGACGUCAAGUCAUCAUGGCCCUUACGUCCGGGGCUACACACGUGCUACAAUGGAUGGUACAGAGGGCAGCAAGCUGGUAACAGCAAGCAAAUCUCCAAAAGCCAUUCACAGUUCGGAUAGAGGUCUGCAACUCGACCUCUUGAAGUUGGAUUCGCUAGUAAUCGUAUAUCAGCAAUGAUACGGUGAAUACGUUCCCGGGCCUUGUACACACCGCCCGUCAAGCCAUGGAAGUUGGGGGUACCUAAAGUAUGUAACCGCAAGGAGC